GACGAACGCUGGCGGCGUGCUUAACACAUGCAAGUCGAACGGAAAGGCCCCGCUUUUGUGGGGUGCUCGAGUGGCGAACGGGUGAGUAACACGUGAGUAACCUGCCCUUGACUUUGGGAUAACUUCAGGAAACUGGGGCUAAUACCGGAUAGGAGCUCCUGCUGCAUGGUGGGGGUUGGAAAGUUUCGGCGGUUGGGGAUGGACUCGCGGCUUAUCAGCUUGUUGGUGGGGUAGUGGCUUACCAAGGCCUUGACGGGUAGCCGGCCUGAGAGGGUGACCGGCCACAUUGGGACUGAGAUACGGCCCAGACUCCUACGGGAGGCAGCAGUGGGGAAUAUUGCACAAUGGGCGGAAGCCUGAUGCAGCAACGCCGCGUGCGGGAUGACGGCCUUCGGGUUGUAAACCGCUUUCGCCUGUGACGAAGCGUGAGUGACGGUAAUGGGUAAAGAAGCACCGGCUAACUACGUG
Molecule: ribosomal RNA, 468 nt
Filed under: uncultured bacterium
Lineage: Bacteria
Description: partial 16S ribosomal RNA
Rfam family: Bacterial small subunit ribosomal RNA
Source: RNAcentral